Molecule: ribosomal RNA, 984 nt
Filed under: Streptomyces sp.
Lineage: Bacteria; Bacillati; Actinomycetota; Actinomycetes; Kitasatosporales; Streptomycetaceae
Description: bacterial SSU rRNA
Rfam family: Bacterial small subunit ribosomal RNA
Source: RNAcentral
CUGCGAGGUUCGAAAGCUCCGGCGGUGCAGGAUGAGCCCGCGGCCUAUCAGCUAGUUGGUGAGGUAACGGCUCACCAAGGCGACGACGGGUAGCCGGCCUGAGAGGGCGACCGGCCACACUGGGACUGAGACACGGCCCAGACUCCUACGGGAGGCAGCAGUGGGGAAUAUUGCACAAUGGGCGAAAGCCUGAUGCAKCGACGCCGCGUGAGGGAUGACGGCCUUCGGGUUGUAAACCUCUUUCAGCAGGGAAGAAGCGAAAGUGACGGUACCUGCAGAAGAAGCGCCGGCUAACUACGUGCCAGCAGCCGCGGUAAUACGUAGGGCGCAAGCGUUGUCCGGAAUUAUUGGGCGUAAAGAGCUCGUAGGCGGCUUGUCACGUCGGUUGUGAAAGCCCGGGGCUUAACCCCGGGUCUGCAGUCGAUACGGGCAGGCUAGAGUUCGGUAGGGGAGAUCGGAAUUCCUGGUGUAGCGGUGAAAUGCGCAGAUAUCAGGAGGAACACCGGUGGCGAAGGCGGAUCUCUGGGCCGAUACUGACGCUGAGGAGCGAAAGCGUGGGGAGCGAACAGGAUUAGAUACCCUGGUAGUCCACGCCGUAAACGGUGGGCACUAGGUGUGGGCAACAUUCCACGUUGUCCGUGCCGCAGCUAACGCAUUAAGUGCCCCGCCUGGGGAGUACGGCCGCAAGGCUAAAACUCAAAGGAAUUGACCGGGGGCCCGCACAAGCGGCGGGAGCAUGUGGCUUUAAUUCGACGCAACGCCAAAAAACCUUACCAAGGCUUGACAUACACCGGAAAAACCCUGGGAAACAGGGUCCCCCUUGUUGGUCGGGGGUACAGGUGGGUGCAUGGCUUGUCGUCCACCUCUGGUCCUGGAGAUGUUGGGGUUAAGUCCCCGCAACGAGNCGCAACCCUUUGUWCCCGGGUUUGCCCAGCAGGCCCCUUGGGGGUGGCUGGGGGAACCCCCGGGGAAAACCCCCCGGGG